This 400-nucleotide ribosomal RNA is filed under the name uncultured bacterium. RNAcentral describes it as "bacterial SSU rRNA". It matches the Rfam family "Bacterial small subunit ribosomal RNA", at positions 356 to 773 of the family's 1533-position model. The record is from RNAcentral.
GGGGAAUUUUGCGCAAUGGGGGCAACCCUGACGCAGCAACGCCGCGUGCGGGACGACGGCCUUCGGGUUGUAAACCGCUUUCAGCAGGGAAGACCGACGACGGUACCUGCAGAAGAAGCCCCGGCUAACUACGUGCCAGCAGCCGCGGUAAUACGUAGGGGGCGAGCGUUAUCCGGAUUCAUUGGGCGUAAAGCGCGCGUAGGCGGCGCGCCAAGCGGAACCUCUAACCUCGGGGCUCAACCUCGAGCCGGGUUCCGAACUGGCGCGCUCGAGUUCGGUAGAGGCAGGCGGAAUUCCCGGUGUAGCGGUGGAAUGCGCAGAUAUCGGGAAGAACACCGAUGGCGAAGGCAGCCUGCUGGGCCGACACUGACGCUGAGGUGCGAAAGCUAGGGGAGCGAAC